GGGGCUGUACUGGUUUUGACAGCAUAGGUUACGGUAGGUGUAAGCAUGCAGUGCGUUGGGUAAUUAGCACUUUAAUCUGAAUAUUCAAAUCUCAAAUGGCAAUACUCAGUAUGCCAUGGCUGCCUAAUCAGUGAUUAAGUAGUCAUUAGGGCCGCCGCGCAGGUUAGCCUGUUUCCAUGCGCCGCCGCCGACUCAAAACAAACACAGGAUGCUGCUGCAGAAGGCUGUGACUGUAGCAAAAGACUAUUCAGCUAAGCGUUUAAUUGGUUUGUUCGUUUCCUGUUAAGCGCCGACAAGCAAUAAUGAAAUAAGCAUGUAGAAAGCUUAUGGUGAUUGUGUUUGGACAGGGGUUCGAUUCCCCUCAGCUCCACAA
This 373-nucleotide transfer-messenger RNA is filed under the name Limnovirga soli. Its description in RNAcentral is "Standard tmRNA". It matches the Rfam family "transfer-messenger RNA". From Rfam's summary of the family: Bacterial tmRNA, also known as 10Sa RNA or SsrA, is named for its dual tRNA and mRNA-like properties. Lineage: Bacteria; Pseudomonadati; Bacteroidota; Chitinophagia; Chitinophagales; Chitinophagaceae. The record is from Rfam by way of RNAcentral.